Molecule: ribosomal RNA, 460 nt
Filed under: uncultured bacterium
Lineage: Bacteria
Description: partial 16S ribosomal RNA
Rfam family: Bacterial small subunit ribosomal RNA
Source: RNAcentral
CCUACGGGAGGCAGCAGUGAGGAAUAUUGGUCAAUGGACGAGAGCCUGAACCAGCCAAGCAGCGUGAAGGAUGAAUGCGCCAGGGGUUGUAAACUUCUUUUAUCAAGGAAUAAAGCGAGCCACGCGUGCCUUUGUGAGUGUACUUUAUGAAAAAGCAUCGGCUAACUCCGUGCCAGCAGCCGCGGUAAUACGGAGGAUCCGAGCGUUAUCCGGAUUUAUUGGGUUUAAAGGGUGCGUAGAUGGGUUGUUAAGUCAGUUGUGAAAGUUUGCGGCUCAACCGUAAGAGUGCAAUUGAUACUGGCAGACUUGAGUACAGUUGAGGUAGGCGGAAUUCGCGGUGUAGCGGUGAAAUGCAUAGAUAUCACGAAGAACCCCGAUUGCGAAGGCAGCUUACUAACCUGUGACUGACAUUGAUGCUCGAAAGUGUGGGUAUCAAACAGGAUUAGAUACCCGAGUAGUC